UGCGUCCUACGGGGCGCAGCAGUGGGGAAUAUUGCGCAAUGGGCGAAAGCCUGACGCAGCGACGCCGCGUGAGGGAUGAAGGUCUUCGGAUCGUAAACCUCUGUCAGCAGGGAAGAACGGUCACUGUGCUAAUCGGCAGUGAAUUGACGGUACCUGCAAAGGAAGCACCGGCUAACUCCGUGCCAGCAGCCGCGGUAAUACGGAGGGUGCGAGCGUUAAUCGGAAUUACUGGGCGUAAAGCGCUCGUAGGCGGUACGUCAAGUCAAGGGGGAAAUCCCCGCGCUCAACGGGGGAAAUGCCUUUGA
RNAcentral lists this ribosomal RNA (305 nucleotides) under uncultured bacterium. Its description in RNAcentral is "bacterial SSU rRNA". It matches the Rfam family "Bacterial small subunit ribosomal RNA", at positions 333 to 630 of the family's 1533-position model. The record is from RNAcentral.